RNAcentral lists this ribosomal RNA (465 nucleotides) under Vreelandella stevensii. RNAcentral describes it as "partial 16S ribosomal RNA". It matches the Rfam family "Bacterial small subunit ribosomal RNA", at positions 338 to 795 of the family's 1533-position model. The record is from RNAcentral. Lineage: Bacteria; Pseudomonadati; Pseudomonadota; Gammaproteobacteria; Oceanospirillales; Halomonadaceae.
CCUACGGGGGGCUGCAGUGGGGAAUAUUGGACAAUGGGGGCAACCCUGAUCCAGCCAUGCCGCGUGUGUGAAGAAGGCCCUCGGGUUGUAAAGCACUUUCAGUGAGGAAGGACGCCUGGUGGUUAAUACCCAUCAGGAAAGACAUCACUCACAGAAGAAGCACCGGCUAACUCCGUGCCAGCAGCCGCGGUAAUACGGAGGGUGCGAGCGUUAAUCGGAAUUACUGGGCGUAAAGCGCGCGUAGGUGGCUUGAUAAGCCGGUUGUGAAAGCCCCGGGCUCAACCUGGGAACGGCAUCCGGAACUGUCAAGCUAGAGUGCAGGAGAGGAAGGUAGAAUUCCCGGUGUAGCGGUGAAAUGCGUAGAGAUCGGGAGGAAUACCAGUGGCGAAGGCGGCCUUCUGGACUGACACUGACACUGAGGUGCGAAAGCGUGGGUAGCAAACAGGAUUAGAUACCCCUGUAGUC